AGGAAAAGUUCUUAAAGCUUGUUAUGAUACAAUUACAGAAACACUGGUGGAUUAUCCUGUGAUCCAAAAUUUUUUGGAAAAACCAAAUAAUGGUAAAAAACAAGAAGGAUGGUUGGUUAAAUCAAAUUCACCUAAAAAAAAACAAAACGCAACAUAAAUGAAGAAGUUGUUGACAAUUCAUCUGGUGAGUUUUCAAACAAAGGGGAUAUACAUUUUAUUUUAAAUAAUGAUACAUCACUUAAAAAUAAAGAAGACAAAAUAAAUAGUUAUCUCCCUGGCAAGAGUUCUAAAGGUGGACGACCAAAAAAAAAUUCAAAUUCACCAAUUUCCUAUAGACAUGGAAAGCUUUCAGCAAAAAGUUUUGUUUUGUUUAAGCGACCUUAAAGAAAAAAUGCAACUAAUCGAAAAACAACAAUCAAAGAUUCUUUUAUUUCUAUCAAAGAGUGACAAUGAAGAUGUAGAUGAUUUCGAACAAACGACUACCACCGAAAAACUUUUGGCACUCGAAAAAAAAUAGUUGACAACAAAAAAAUUAAAUUAAUGCUUCAGAGGAAGGUGGAAGUUAUAGGGUUAACAUGUAAGUCCAUGAGCGAGCAUGUUCGUUGUUCUCUAAAUGCAAUUAUGUCAUGCAAGUUGCAAAUAAAUAUGAAUGUUAUGUAUGGUAAUAAUGUACCGUUAAAGUCAUAUACGGACCAUUUGUUUUCGGACCAUCAUCUUCCAACAUUCAUAAAUUACUCAGAUCAAUAUCUAAUGUUUGGAAUUCCUCAGAAAAAGAAACCAAACGAGUUAUAUCAGAGUGGCUUAAACAAGCAGGAAAACGUUUUUGUAGUAACUACAAUCAUGUUAGGCUGUCAAACUUUUUAUUAA
This is a non-coding RNA of Hydra vulgaris (swiftwater hydra), 867 nucleotides long. The record is from RefSeq and is a predicted model, not a curated record. NCBI's taxonomy places the organism in Eukaryota, Metazoa, Cnidaria, Hydrozoa, Anthoathecata, Hydridae.